RNAcentral lists this ribosomal RNA (430 nucleotides) under uncultured bacterium. RNAcentral describes it as "bacterial SSU rRNA". It matches the Rfam family "Bacterial small subunit ribosomal RNA", at positions 355 to 776 of the family's 1533-position model. The record is from RNAcentral.
UGGGGAAUUGUUCGCAAUGGGCGCAAGCCUGACGACGCAACGCCGCGUGGAGGAUGAAGGUCUUCGGAUUGUAAACUCCUGUCGAACGGGACGAACACCUUUCCAACGAAUACUUGGAGAGGCUGACGGUACCGUGAGAGGAAGCCCCGGCUAACUCUGUGCCAGCAGCCGCGGUAAUACAGAGGGGGCAAGCGUUGUUCGGAAUUACUGGGCGUAAAGGGCGCGUAGGCGGCCGCCUAAGUCAGACGUGAAAUCCCUCGGCUCAACCGGGGAACUGCGUCUGAUACUGGGUGGCUUGAAUCCGGGAGAGGGAUGUGGAAUUCCAGGUGUAGCGGUGAAAUGCGUAGAUAUCUGGAGGAACACCGGUGGCGAAGGCGGCAUCCUGGACCGGUAUUGACGCUGAUGCGCGAAAGCCAGGGGAGCAAACGGG